Molecule: ribosomal RNA, 462 nt
Filed under: uncultured bacterium
Lineage: Bacteria
Description: partial 16S ribosomal RNA
Rfam family: Bacterial small subunit ribosomal RNA
Source: RNAcentral
GACGAACGCUGGCGGCGUGCUUAACACAUGCAAGUCGAGCGGAAAGGCCCUUCGGGGUACUCGAGCGGCGAACGGGUGAGUAACACGUGAGUAACCUGCCCCAGACUUUGGGAUAACCCUCGGAAACGGGGGCUAAUACCGGAUACGACACAGCUUCGCAUGGGGUCUGUGUGGAAAGUUUUUCGGUUUGGGAUGGGCUCGCGGCCUAUCAGCUUGUUGGUGGGGUGAUGGCCUACCAAGGCGACGACGGGUAGCCGGCCUGAGAGGGCGACCGGCCACACUGGGACUGAGACACGGCCCAGACUCCUACGGGAGGCAGCAGUGGGGAAUAUUGCACAAUGGGCGGAAGUCUGAUGCAGCGACGCCGCGUGAGGGAUGACGGCCUUCGGGUUGUAAACCUCUUUCAGCAGGGACGAAGCGUAAGUGCCGGUACCUGCAGAAGAAGCGCCGGCCAACUACGUG